Molecule: ribosomal RNA, 448 nt
Filed under: uncultured bacterium
Lineage: Bacteria
Description: SSU rRNA
Rfam family: Bacterial small subunit ribosomal RNA
Source: RNAcentral
AGAGCGAACGCUGGCGGCAGGCCUAACACAUGCAAGUCGAGCGGCCGUAGCAAUACGGCAGCGGCAGACGGGAGAGUAACACGUGGGAACGUACCCUUUGGUUCGGAACAACACAGGGAAACUUGUGCUAAUACCGGAUAAGCCCUUACGGGGAAAGAUUUAUCGCCAAGGGAUCGGCCCGCGUCUGAUUAGCUAGUUGGUGGGGUAACGGCCCACCAAGGCGACGAUCAGUAGCUGGUCUGAGAGGAUGAUCAGCCUCACUGGGACUGAGACACGGCCCAGACUCCUACGGGAGGCAGCAGUGGGGAAUAUUGGACAAUGGGCGCAAGCCUGAUCCAGCCAUGCCGCGUGGAUGAUGAAGGCCCUAGGGUUGUAAAGUCCUUUCGGCGGGGAAGAUAAUGACGGUACCCGCAGAAGAAGCCCCGGCUAACUUCGCGCCAGCAGCCGC